This 460-nucleotide ribosomal RNA is filed under the name uncultured bacterium. Its description in RNAcentral is "bacterial SSU rRNA". It matches the Rfam family "Bacterial small subunit ribosomal RNA", at positions 340 to 789 of the family's 1533-position model. The record is from RNAcentral.
UACGGGAGGCAGCAGUGGGGAAUAUUGCACAAUGGGCGAAAGCCUGAUGCAGCUAUGCCGCGUGUAUGAAGAAGGCCUUAGGGUUGUAAAGUACUUUUCAUCGGGGAGGAAAAAACAAAACUAAUAAUUUUAUUUCUUGACGUUACCCGAAAAAGAAGCACCGGCUAACUCCGUGCCAGCAGCCGCGGUAAUACGGAGGGUGCUAGCGUUAAUCAGAAUUACUGGGCGUAAAGAGCACGUAGGUGGUUUUUUUAAGUCAGAUGUGAAAUCCCUGGGCUUAACCUGGAACUGCAUUUUGAAACUGAAAUACUGGAGUAUCGUAGAGGGAGGUAGAAUUCUAGGUGUAGCGGUGAAAUGCGUAGAUAUCUGGAGGAAUACCUGUGGCGAAAGCGGCCUCCUAAACGAAUACUGACACUGAGGUGCGAAAGCGUGGGGAGCAAACAGGGAUUUAGAUACCCGU